AGUGAACGCUGGCGGUAGGCCUAACACAUGCAAGUCGAACGGCAGCACAGUAAGGGCUUGCUCUUACGGGUGGCGAGUGGCGGACGGGUGAGGAAUACAUCGGAAUCUACUUUUUCGUGGGGGAUAACGUAGGGAAACUUACGCUAAUACCGCAUACGACCUACGGGCGAAAGCAGGGGAUCUUCGGACCUUGCGCGAUUGAAUGAGCUGAUGUCGGAUUAGCUAGUUGGCGGGGUAAAGGCCCACCAAGGCGACGAUCCGUAGCUGGUCUGAGAGGAUGAUCAGCCACACUGGAACUGAGACACGGUCCAGACUCCUACGGGAGGCAGCAGUGGGGAAUAUUGGACAAUGGGCGCAAGCCUGAUCCAGCCAUACCGCGUGGGUGAAGAAGGCCUUCGGGUUGUAAAGCCCUUUUGUUGGGAAAGAAAAGCAGCAGGUUAAUACCCCGCUGUUCUGACGGUACCCAAAGAAUAAGCACCGGCUAACUUCGUG
RNAcentral lists this ribosomal RNA (492 nucleotides) under uncultured bacterium. Its description in RNAcentral is "partial 16S ribosomal RNA". It matches the Rfam family "Bacterial small subunit ribosomal RNA", at positions 29 to 507 of the family's 1533-position model. The record is from RNAcentral.